AUCGGUUCUCAGGGCGGGGUGAAAGUCCCCACCGGCGGUAAUGAUGCGGCGUGAAAAAGACACGCCAGCCUCUCAGCCCGCGAGCGCUUGAUGGCUAGCGCCAUCAAGGUCAGCAGAUUCGGUGAGAUUCCGAAGCCGACGGUCACAGUCCGGAUGAAAGAGAACGGUU
Molecule: non-coding RNA, 169 nt
Filed under: Salinicola sp. MIT1003
Lineage: Bacteria; Pseudomonadati; Pseudomonadota; Gammaproteobacteria; Oceanospirillales; Halomonadaceae
Also listed under: 1 other name
Description: FMN riboswitch aptamer (RFN element)
Rfam family: FMN riboswitch aptamer (RFN element)
About the family: The RFN element is a highly conserved domain that is found frequently in the 5'-untranslated regions of prokaryotic mRNAs that encode for flavin mononucleotide (FMN) biosynthesis and transport proteins. This element is a metabolite-dependent riboswitch that directly binds FMN in the absence of proteins.
Source: Rfam by way of RNAcentral